CGUGUAGGCGGUAUGGUAAGUCAGAUGUGAAAGCCCUGGGCUUAACCCAGGAAGUGCAUUUGAUACUGCCAUUCUUGAGUAUGGGAGAGUAGAGUGGAAUUCCCAGUGUAGAGGUGAAAUUCGUAGAUAUUGGGAGGAACACCCGUGGCGAAGGCGACUCUCUGGACCAAUACUGACGCUGAGACGCGAAAGCGUGGGGAGCAAACA
This 207-nucleotide ribosomal RNA is filed under the name uncultured bacterium. Its description in RNAcentral is "partial 16S ribosomal RNA". It matches the Rfam family "Bacterial small subunit ribosomal RNA", at positions 568 to 774 of the family's 1533-position model. The record is from RNAcentral.